Molecule: long non-coding RNA, 531 nt
Filed under: Marmota monax (woodchuck)
Lineage: Eukaryota; Metazoa; Chordata; Mammalia; Rodentia; Sciuridae
Source: RNAcentral
AUCUGGUGACCAUUGUAAAUUGGUCUGUUUCCUAGUGUUGCUCAUUGUGGAAUCAGGAUGUAACUUGGACACAGCAGGCAGUGGCAUACCUGGCUUCCUUCAUCGUCCUCUGUGAUGUCUUCCUGUCCUGCAGCUGGGGCUGCUCUCCUCAACUCGGAGCCCGCCCCACCAAGACGAAUCCUCUCUACCCAGCCUGCACUCCUGUGCAGCUGGCUGCUCUCGGCUUGUUCUGUUCUGGACUUUCUGUUUUAUUUUUGAACAAUCGCGGCCAGAACCCAGGCCGGCAGACAGAACCUGUGUGAUUGGUAGGCAUCCGACCCAAAUGCCAGACAUACAACUAGUAACCUGGGUUGGCUCCGACGACAGGAAGGUGGUUCCCUGUCACCAUCAGUCAUCACCCUCCGCCCUCCCAACCUGGCUGGCUGGCUACAUUUUCUGCUCCUGCUGUCAACUGCGGAAAUGCAAACUGUGCGUGAAGAGGUGUUUCCUGCCCUGGGAGAUCUGAGUUUAUGCCUCUGUGCCCACCUCUCC